Molecule: long non-coding RNA, 1845 nt
Filed under: Homo sapiens (human)
Lineage: Eukaryota; Metazoa; Chordata; Mammalia; Primates; Hominidae
Description: non-protein coding PAPPA-AS2:3
Source: RNAcentral
ACAGUGUCUUCUAUCUCCAAGCUGGUGAGACACACUGCAGUCCUCUACAGAACAGAAGAGAGACAGUGCACAAGAUUGCUCUUGGGAGCUUGAUGAUGAUUGACAAGGUGUACUCUGGUCCUUGCCUGCCUCUGCAGGCUUCUCUCUUCUCGAACGCACUCUAGUCUAAGCUCCAGACACAAAUUGUCGUUGCCCUGAGUGGACCAUGUUCCCUCUCACCUCCCCACGUUUGCAGAAGCUUUCUUCAAAUCCCCAGAGCUGCCUUUUCUGUGACUAGUCCCCAUUUGUCCUUUAUUCACAGUUUAACCUCUCAAAAACCUGCCUGGAAACCCACCCCCAGAAGGGCUAAUGGACCCUCACUAGGUCUUCCUAUACCAUCAUCCGCUUCCCCAGUUAAAAUUGUACUUAGCGUAUUUGUGAAAUGAAUAACUGGAUGACUUUCUCCAUGCUGGGCAUUGUGCUAAAUGUUUCAAGUACAUAAGGCAUUCAAAUCUAGAAGAGCCCCGUGUUUGGUCCUAUUAUUAUCCCCAUUUUACAGACAAUGAAAUUGAGGUUUCAAGAGGGUAAGUCAUUCCCAUGCUGUCCAGUUAAUCUAUUUUGAAUGGAUGUGGAUAUUCAGGAGAAUCUGAUGAGAUGGGCUGAUCUGAUUCUCUCUCGGAUGCCCUAUGAUUUGGCACUACUUGGGGGCUCAGGGGCCUGAUGGAGCUGUGAUCACAACCUGGCUCUUCACUAAUUAGCUGGUGUCAAUGACCAGCACACUUUAGCCCUGAGUCCGUUUCCUCUUUGGCAAAUUGGCAAAAUAAUGACUACCUUCCCAACUGUUAUGAGGACAAAAAAAUGAGAAGCUGUUGAGAAAGCACGUAGCACCACAUCCAGCAUUUAAAAAACAAAUUUUUUAAAGUAAAAGAUGAGGAGUUUCCCUUUCCUUAAAGGAAGUAAUCUGUCUCUGCUACCUUGUGCCACAGUUAAACUGCACAGGCUCAAUAACUUAUGUUUUGGUUAAACGUUUUUAAUUUUUUUAGAGUGAAAUCCGAGUUUUUGUUGGCAAGUGAUUGAACACGCUGGGCCCAGCCUGCAGGCCCACAGUCCAUUAGGAAAUUUACGAGGCGAGAUGGGGACCUUCAGCUCAAGUACUCCCUUCAGACGCAGUACUUACAAAGCCAUCAAUUUCCUUAACAAAGAGCAUUGGCUUAAAUGCCCCUUAAAGCAGUGUUAUUUACACAGCUAUCCACUUCCUUUUGAAUUCUCUGCCUGGGGGGUGGCAGACCUGCAGUUCUUUCCAGCUACGAGUUAAUUAGGCUCUCUCCCCAAAUGGAAGCAAGCCGCAGACUGAGAUUUGGUAUUAAAAAGCAGCUCAAUUUGGGGCCAUCCGAGAGUCUUAUGGGGUGAUCCAAAUACCACCAAAAUCACUGGUUCCACCCACCCAUUCUUCUAAAAUUCUAAAGCCUUUGGACCUUACCAAAGAGUAAUGACCUCUGUCAGUAUAGAGAUAGAGAAGGAAAGGCAGCAUUUGAGCCCGUCUCUACUUAGUGAAAGAAGCCUCAAAAAAGUACUGCUGGCUAAGAUAGCAUACUUUCUACCUCUUGGUGUAUCGAUAUAGUAACAUUAACAUUUUAAAGAAGCCCCCACCCCUUUUGUGGGGGAACUAGGAUUUGGAUACAAGCAGCCCAGUUCAGGGGUCUGAGCAUGAAACCACCACCCCAAGCCACCUGACCCAAGAUAACCUGCCCGAGAUGACAGCUAAGGGGGAAAGUCUCCUAUUCAAACAGGAUUGUCUGACUCUAAAGACCAGCAAAGCUCAACUACACUUUCUUGCCUGAAAAAUAAAACUGUCUCUUAAGAAAU